GACCUGAGAGGGUGAUCGGCCACACUGGGACUGAGACACGGCCCAGACUCCUACGGGAGGCAGCAGUAGGGAAUCUUCCGCAAUGGACGAAAGUCUGACGGAGCAACGCCGCGUGAGCGAAGAAGGCCUUCGGGUCGUAAAGCUCUGUUGUUAGGGAAGAACAAGUAACGCAGUAACUGGCGUUACCGUGACGGUACCUAACGAGAAAGCCACGGCUAACUACGUGCCAGCAGCCGCGGUAAUACGUAGGUGGCAAGCGUUGUCCGGAAUUAUUGGGCGUAAAGAGCUUGUAGGCGGCUUGUUGCGUCUGCUGUGAAA
Molecule: ribosomal RNA, 318 nt
Filed under: Oxyrrhis marina
Lineage: Eukaryota; Dinophyceae; Oxyrrhinales; Oxyrrhinaceae
Description: partial Bacterial small subunit ribosomal RNA
Rfam family: Bacterial small subunit ribosomal RNA
Source: RNAcentral